Molecule: ribosomal RNA, 252 nt
Filed under: uncultured bacterium
Lineage: Bacteria
Description: partial 16S ribosomal RNA
Rfam family: Bacterial small subunit ribosomal RNA
Source: RNAcentral
UACGUAGGGGGCUAGCGUUAUCCGGAAUUACUGGGCGCAAAGGGUGCGUAGGUGGUUUCUUAAGUCAGAGGUGAAAGGCUACGGCUCAACCGUAGUAAGCCUUUGAAACUGGGGAACUUGAGUGCAGGAGAGGAGAGUGGAAUUCCUAGUGUAGCGGUGAAAUGCGUAGAUAUUAGGAGGAACACCAGUUGCGAAGGCGGCUCUCUGGACUGUAACUAACACGGAGGCACGAAAGCGUGGGGAGCAAACAGG